Molecule: ribosomal RNA, 598 nt
Filed under: uncultured bacterium
Lineage: Bacteria
Description: bacterial SSU rRNA
Rfam family: Bacterial small subunit ribosomal RNA (bases 1-525)
Source: RNAcentral
CCUACGGGAGGCAGCAGUGGGGAAUAUUGCACAAUGGGCGCAAGCCUGAUGCAGCGACGCCGCGUGAGGGAUGACGGCCUUCGGGUUGUAAACCUCUUUCAGUAGGGAAGAAGCGAAAGUGACGGUACCUGCAGAAGAAGCGUCGGCUAACUACGUGCCAGCAGCCGCGGUAAUACGUAGGGCGCAAGCGUUAUCCGGAAUUAUUGGGCGUAAAGAGCUCGUAGGCGGUUUGUCGCGUCUGCCGUGAAAGUCCGGGGCUCAACUCCGGAUCUGCGGUGGGUACGGGCAGACUAGAGUGAUGUAGGGGAGACUGGAAUUCCUGGUGUAGCGGUGAAAUGCGCAGAUAUCAGGAGGAACACCGAUGGCGAAGGCAGGUCUCUGGGCAUUAACUGACGCUGAGGAGCGAAAGCAUGGGGAGCGAGCAGGAUUAGAUACCCUGGUAGUCCAUGCCGUAAACGUUGGGCACUAGGUGUGGGGGACAUUCCACGUUUUCCGUACCGUAGCUAACGCAUUAAGUGCCCCGCCUGGGGNGGUACGGCGCGAGACGAACUACAANAGAUAGAGCGNGNGAGNGCGACGACGACGACGAGGGAGGAGG